GGCUCUGUGGUGCAAUGGAUAGCGCAUUGGACUUCUAAUUCAAAGGUUGUGGGUUCGAGUCCCGCCAGAGUCA
RNAcentral lists this transfer RNA (73 nucleotides) under Equus caballus (horse). RNAcentral describes it as "tRNA-Arg (TCT) (tRNA-Arg-TCT-5-1)". It matches the Rfam family "tRNA". Rfam says of the family: Transfer RNA (tRNA) molecules are approximately 80 nucleotides in length. Their secondary structure includes four short double-helical elements and three loops (D, anti-codon, and T loops). Further hydrogen bonds mediate the characteristic L-shaped molecular structure. tRNAs have two regions of fundamental functional importance: the anti-codon, which is responsible for specific mRNA codon recognition, and the 3' end, to which the tRNAs corresponding amino acid is attached (by aminoacyl-tRNA synthetases). tRNAs cope with the degeneracy of the genetic code in two manners: having more than one tRNA (with a specific anti-codon) for a particular amino acid; and 'wobble' base-pairing, i.e. permitting non-standard base-pairing at the 3rd anti-codon position. Lineage: Eukaryota; Metazoa; Chordata; Mammalia; Perissodactyla; Equidae. The record is from RNAcentral.